This 87-nucleotide non-coding RNA is filed under the name Pseudomonas moraviensis. The record is from RNAcentral. Lineage: Bacteria; Pseudomonadati; Pseudomonadota; Gammaproteobacteria; Pseudomonadales; Pseudomonadaceae.
CUCGAUGGUGGCUGUGCGCAUGGCAUCUUCGGAUGCACCGGGUUGAAUGCUUACCGGUCCGCUAACUUGCGCACAGCUGCCUCCCUU